Silurus meridionalis is the source of this 1417-nucleotide long non-coding RNA. RefSeq lists it as uncharacterized. Lineage: Eukaryota; Metazoa; Chordata; Actinopteri; Siluriformes; Siluridae. The transcript is spliced from 2 exons. The record is from RefSeq and is a predicted model, not a curated record.
UAGUCGGAUAAAGGACAGCACUGUUUUGUGGACUGUAAGUGUUUCACAGUUGAAGACUGCGUCUUGAUCGGUCCUUGAGAAGCUCUGCUGCUGCUGGAGUGAAGCAGUAACUUUAUGCUAGCUGCAGACACACUCGUGACUGCUCCAUAUCAGCUGCUGUAUAUAUUCAGGAUGUGAAGUACUGUUUUGAGAAGAUUUGAUUUUGAGUUUACUCUGCCAUCCAAACGACAUCUCAGCUGAUUCAUCUCAAAAGUGAUUCGUUUAUGAUUCACUCCUAUGUGAUUCAUUUGAUUGAUUCAUCGUGAUACUGCAACUGAAAGAGGCAAUUAAAUGACAUCCCUCGAGUUAAUUUCAACGCACGCUACGUCAGCACAAUGUAUUUCCACUCAUCAUUCCACAAACUGGUGUUUCCUAUUUAUUCUUCUGAGAUAUCGUGGUUUGAUGGACGGGACAGUUGAGUUAUAGAACGUAAAGUGAAGUGUGGUUGAACAUGUCACCAGUGUUUUGAGUGUGAAAUUGUGAAUUAUCAUAGAAAACUGGUAUUUUCUCACUGUUUUUCACUGUUUUGAAUGUGAUUGUGUUCAAAAAGGUUAAUUUAAGUGUUGAAAUUUAAUUCUAAAUGAAGAUUUAAGUGAGUUUAGAAUUUGAAGGAGAAUAAGAGUUUUCUUUGAAGGUUUCUUUACUAAUGUAUUUGACUCUAUACUGAAUAUAUUGAAAGUGAUUGUGUUUGAGUGACAGCACAAAUUAUUUGUUUACGUAACUUUUUUUUUUAAAUUUAUUUUUCUUUGUUGUUUUCAGUCUUUUGAGUAAUUGAGACUAAUUCUUGUUUAAGAAAUUAUAUAUAUAUAUAGAAAAUAAACAAGGUUUAUAUCUCUUUAUACUUACCUGAAGUGUGAAGUCUGUCAGGGAGUAAGGGUGUCUCCUUAAUAGACUUGGGGAGGGAGGAGUAUGUGAACUUUUUUUUUUAUAUAAUUCUCACAUAUAUUUUUACUUCAGAAGGCUUUCUCGUGACGGUAAACUAACUGAAGCCUACCCUCGUCAGUCUGUAGGUCCAGUCACCCAUAAGAUUGUUUUUUUAGAAAGGGAUAGAUCAUCUGAAUCUGACCCAAGCGGUCAGUGGCGAGCCAACCUGCAGAAGUGAACGGAUCAAGAGCCCGGUGUGGCCAGCCGUGGCAUCUUUGGACCAGCAUCAUCCUGUGCCUUCAUUUGUGAUACAGAUAAGAACAUACGUAAACCUACCCGGGUAGUGAAAAGAACAUACUCUACGAAACACACACACAUAAACAACUUCUAUAGACUCUUUCUUUAUUUUAGUUUUUUAUUUUGAGUUUAUUGUGCACUCAGGAAUCUUUCUUAGGUAGGCAGGGAAUGUAAAUGACUGCCAAUUUAUUUUGUAUAAUACAUUUUUUCAAAUUCA